Molecule: non-coding RNA, 3754 nt
Organism: Monodelphis domestica (gray short-tailed opossum)
Lineage: Eukaryota; Metazoa; Chordata; Mammalia; Didelphimorphia; Didelphidae
Source: RefSeq, a predicted model, not a curated record
GAAGUGGGGGGGAAGGGAGGGGGAGGGGAAAGCGGCCGUUAAUCUGAGACUCGGUCGGUGUCCUCCCCACACCCUCACGCUCCCGCUCCUCCCUAUCCUCUCGCCCUCCCGCUCACCCCUUUCUGCCCUUUCUGUUCCGGGCCUUGGAGUUGUAAUCGGCGCCUCUCACUCCCCCUGGGGAUGGGGUGGGGUGGGGGGGAAAAAAGAGAGGAAUUUGGGGUGGGAAGGGGAUUGGGGAGAGAGAGAGGGAGGGAGGGAAGGAAGGAAGGAAGGAAGGAAGGGGAGAGGGAAGGGCACGCGGGCGCCGAGGCCGAGCCUGGGGGUCCGAGCGCGAGGCGCGGAACUCGGGAGGGGGAGGCGGGGUUCCCUCACACGCAAGCCUCGCCACCUCCCCCCUUCCUCCACGCGCGGAUGGUGGAAGAAGACAGGGUGGGGGGAGUGGAGAUUUGGUGAAAGAGCUACGUAGGUUUCCAUGUACUGUCAAACGGGGUGUUUCCUAACGAAAAAAAAAAAGGUGUCUGGACCACCCUGGCGUCCUCUUGUCUAUCCGCCUGUCGGAGUGGUGCCGAAGCCCUCCCCCGGUCCCCUUUGGACUGGGCCCACUCCUGUGCCCAGUUUUAAAGACAAGAGGCGAAUAUGUGCAUGUAGAGUGAUGAAGCUAUGUGUUUUCACGCAAGGUAGAGUGCACUGGAGCUGGGGAAGAAAGGGGGGGGGGGUCUCAGUCUGGUACAGGAGGAUGUAAUUUGUCAGCAUCUCGUAGGUUCCCUGCAUAUAUUUGUGAGUGCACCUUCACACAGCUUGGCGCCGCGUAAACGCUUCUCCCACGUCUCGGUAUUACCAUUCGUCCCUGCCGGCCUGUCUCCUUCCCUUUGGCGCCCUCUCUGCCUCGCGCGCGCGCGUUAAGCUAUUUGUGGACACCUCGACUUGCAAGCCUAGACCUUUGUGGUCGAGUUGUGUAGGGAGCGUCUCGCGCACUCCGACGGAGGAAUUUCCUGCGGAACCCGCCGCGCCAGCGUCGUCGCCACUCCUCCUACACCCCCCCCCACCCCCCAAAGAGAAAUCUGGCUGAGCGCGUGCGCGAGUUCGCUGGUCGGCCUCCUGUUUUUUAUACUUUUAAAAGAAAGCCUCUAAAAAACACUCCGCUAGCUUCGCUGGGGGCCCGUCGGGGUGGGCGUCACAUGAUCUGCGCACGUAGUUGUAAAGUCCGAAGACGCGUGCGCAGGAAGGAGCCGACGGCAACUGAGAAAAGAAUACGAUAGCUGGCUGGUCACGCCCCUUUCCUGGGGUCUUUCUCGGUCCCGCCUCCUGUCCGAGGUGGAGAAAGCGAGGGGAGUCCGGGGAAAUCGGGAGGGGCACUUUAAUUUGUGCGCCUGCGUGGGGUGAGGUGCGUGGCAUCUGUCUUUCGGCUAAGGUGGGUAACUUGGGCAGGUAUUCGUUCUCGGCCGAACCUCGCGAGGAUCCUUUUCGUCUCUUGAGUGAGGUCGGAGGGUAAAAGGCUCUGCCUAAACUGCUGGCUACUCUGGCGACCACCACUUCGGGGCGGGGUUAGUCCAGGGCCUUUGACGGGCCGUUAGCCACUGUGCCCAGCCCUGCCCCUGGGACGUCUUGCAGAGACUCCGCGCACACUAGAUUCUGCCCUGGCUCCCAAACCCCGGCUCGCUCCUAGAGAUGUCAGCCAGUUAGAUUCUACGCGCCCCGUGGGCUUCAGCUAAAUGUCCGGCGCUUUGCUUUUGCUGCUUCUGCUUCUUUCUCCCUAACUGAAUGAGAUAGUCAGGAUUGCAACAUCCUUGCCCCAUGCCCCUAUCCUAUCCUCUCUUGGGCUGGGGCCCUGAGGUAGCCGAGGUCAAGAAGCUGACUUUUGUUUCUUCUCUAAAUAUGUAACGGAUUUUGCUGCAACUUAUUCAUCCUCCAUAGAAAUAAAUUGUUUUCCCCUGAGCAUUUUCUGGUAGUGGUCUUAGCCUUGAUCCUGUGCACCAUUCAAUAAAGUCCCACCAGUUUUGUUUUAUCUUUUUAUCUCGACUUCUUCCCCCAUCCCAAAGCAAAAGUGCAAAAAAAAUAAAAGGACAGUGGGAGGGAAUGAAGAUCCGGUAGACCUUCAGUCUUCUGUCUGCUCGUGUCCACACACCCACAAGACUGAAUAUAAAAAGCAUAAAUGUAGAAGUAUAAAAUGACGGUGGAGAAUUGGAAGGAGCAGAGGGGAAAAUGAAAGAACAGUCAACAGAUAUACUAAAGAGUUCCUGGUGUCAGCUGACAACAUCACUGGACUUCUCAGACAACUGAGGGAAGACCCUAAAUUGUGGUGAUAGCCCUACCAUCAGCAGAAGUUGGAACGAGACCAUAAGCCUUUCCUCCAGCUGAGAGCACGCCAAGGGAUCAGACAUACCAACAGAAGAAUGACUUCCAGACUGUGAAGACUAUUACAAAACAGUUAAGAAGGAAAUGAAGUCCUGUGCACUGAGCCUUAUAGGCCAAGAGCUAUCCUGUCAGCUGCUUAAGGACUUUUGAGGAAUGAAGAGACUGGAAGACAUGGGAUGGAAGUCAUUAAUCUACCAGAGUCAAACCAGAAACUCAGAAAUAUUUCUCUGCUUCAGUUACUAUGUGGGUACAUCAGGUAUGGUCAUAUUAUGUACACAGCCUGCCCCAAAGGGUAGAAAUACAGAGUUGGCAUGAAAAGGACAUAGUCAGCUACUUUUGUACCAUGAGUGAGAUCCAAGAACCACGUUAGAAGCUCAGUGAGCUCCUAGAUACCAGCUGACUCUAAUCUAAGGACAGAGAGGCACCCAGACACCAAGCCACAACACAGGACUUUGUAAACAAUGUUUCAUGCUUCACAACUCUAUUUGUACCCAUUAUCAUCUGUUUCCAAUGUAUGACUAAGUUUGAGACUUGCCAUGACCUGAGAAUUUCUGACAGAUGUCACUAGAAUGGUGCCUCUGUGGGUAGAUGGAAUUUAUUCAAAUUCUGACCCUUGUAAGAUACUUCUCCCUUGUAGUACUCUAGUGGCAGACCCUCAGACUUUUGUGUCUUAGCUGGUCAGGGUCAACUGGGUCCCAGAUUAACCUAAUGGAACCUGUGAUUGAGAAUAUGGAUCAGAUGGUCACUAAUAGGAACAACUACUGAAGAAAAGAGCACUUUGCAAAUUAUAUCCUCUCUACUUUCCUCUCUCUCUUCUUCCCACAGAGCAUCUAGCCUCAGCUCAACUUUUCUCUAUUAGAGAGAUAUAAAGUUUGGGGGUAGGGUGGGAAGAAUAGACUCUCUGCCAUCUUCUGGACUGCAUUAAGAUAACAGACCCAUUUACCCUGCUUUAGGUACACUACUCUUUUGGGGGCUAAAUUCUUGAGCCCAAUUAGAUCAUUUGGGUUUCUUUGCUAAUGAUUGUAUGCAAAUGACAUGAAUAUUAGAGAAUAAUAAAACAUAGUGGGGAGGGUAGUGGAAAGAGAGGAACUUUCUGUGAUUCUGAAGUGAAAGUGGCAUUGGAAAGAUUCAUUAUAGAUUUGUCAAAGUGCCCUAGCAAUACAUGAUGGGUACUGAUAGAUGGGUACAGAGAAAGAGCGAGAAAUUGAUGGAUUAUACUCCUGUACAUGGGUCUUAAGUAUAGUAAAGGGCAGCAGGGUGAAAUGAUUUCUUUUUUUGAGGAAAAAUGUUAUAAUCUAUCUAUCUAUCUACACAAAAGAUAUUGCUUGGAUCUGAAUUUUGUAUAUGUAUAUAUAAAAUUUUGAAUUUGAAAUAUAAAUAAAAAUCAUGUUUAAAAAGG